CUGUCAUGCCCAUAAAGCACCUUUGAAUUUAGUUGAAUUCAAUGUCUGCAUUUAUAUAGCAGAAAUAUGAAGUAACGUAAGAUAAAAAACACUUCAUGAAGUAGCCGAUUUAAAAUUUGUCUAGCUCCGCCUCUUCCUAUUAGUUCCCUCCUCAGUUAAUUGGCUCCUGUCUUUCACCUGUGCAUCUACCACCGCUAAGUGUAGACACCAUUUUGACUCUGAAAACAUUAGUUUGACUUCGUUUAAUGUUUCCCAACAACACUGAGGUGCGCUUUAAAAAAAAAAAAAAAAAAAAAAAAAAAAAACUACGUUUAAUUACCAUAACAAAACCUGGCUAGUUGUUGCUAACUAACCAUGUUUUGAUAUUUACAACCGACGUUUUCACAACGGACGGUAAGUCAGGGCUUUAUAACUUCAACAGAAACACUCAAACCGAUGCAGCAAAACGUUUCGUCCACAGAAAAAAGCAGAGAGAGCACUAAAAAGUACACGAUAACGACUCAGCAAUGUCAACAGUUAGCUUGUUUACUAGUUAGCAGAUACCGGGAGCCAGCAGCAGAGGAGACGUGGAGCUGCAGGACCUCAGGUGCAGAAAACCAGUUACCAGUAGCCACACAGAGGUAGAUGAGAGAGUGCAUCAGGGUCUCAGUUCCUGCACCCCUCCAUGUCCCCAUGGUCGCCGGAUUCUCUUAAGAUCCAACCUCUGACCUCCAACAACCUGUCGUCUCAGGUUUCCAUGGAGACAUUUGUCAUCAGGACCAAUGUGGCGUCUUGGUGGGUUAUUUUUAUCUCCCCCGCCGCAGCCUGUGCCAGCUUAGUAUCCUGGAAUGGGGGCUAAAGUCAUGCUGCUGGGGGAAGUUCUGGGUACAUUUAGGGGCUUCCAGAGUGGGGCUUCCCAGCUGUAAUGAUACCAUGCCAAGGGUGUCCUAGCAGGAAUGUGAAUCAUCCAUCCACAUGAGCUGUUAUAAUGCAACAUUAUGUCAGCCGCACUGCAGCCCGGAAAGUCCUUCAACACGUAGCCCUAACAACUAGAGAUGGGGGGAUUUUAGCCGGCUAAAAAUGCUGCCUGUGUCCACUUGGUUUAGCUUGUGGAUGUGUUUCCAUUUCUCUUUGAUAAUGCAGGUGUUAAUGUUUAAGCUACAAUGUCAAAGGUUCUACUGGCCAAGGCACUGCAGGGGUAAAAAAUGAAUAUACACUGCAGUGUGUGUGUGUGUGUGUGUGUGUGUGUAUGUGUGUGUGUAUCUGCUGCUUGUGUGUGAGUGCUUGUUUGUAGAAGUUUGUGUUGCUUUCAUUUAGGGCUUUUAGUUCCUUGUAAGUGGAAUAGUUUCCAUGUGUUGUGGCUUUCCAGAAUACACACUUUUUGGCAACCCACAUAAAGACAUUAGCCCAAAUAAUAUUCUCCAGCGUGUUAGUGAAGGCACUCGGAUAUUUAUGAUAUGCUUGGUCACUGGUGUGAGAAUGUGCAUGUCCAGUGGAAACUUGGAGCCUCUUGUUUAUUGGUUCCUAUCAUGACAAGAGGGAGUGAAAUAUUACUAUCCAGUCAGUUAUGUGGUUUUGUCCACUGUUGUCUAUGGGAACGUACCUGUUUUUGUGGAGAUUGCCUUUUACAUAGAAGCAGAUUAAAAGGGGAUAUGGAAAAUUAAAAGAGAAAGGGAAAUAAUUAUAUUUCAUUAUGCUGAAAUGUUAAAUGGAAAAGCAGGA
Long non-coding RNA from Seriola aureovittata, 1701 nucleotides. RefSeq lists it as uncharacterized. The transcript has 3 exons. NCBI's taxonomy places the organism in Eukaryota, Metazoa, Chordata, Actinopteri, Carangiformes, Carangidae. The record is from RefSeq and is a predicted model, not a curated record.